Phascolarctos cinereus (koala) is the source of this 393-nucleotide non-coding RNA. Lineage: Eukaryota; Metazoa; Chordata; Mammalia; Diprotodontia; Phascolarctidae. The record is from RefSeq and is a predicted model, not a curated record.
GUAACACACAAGGGCAGAGGGGAUCAGAAGAAGAAGAAAGGAGAAAGGUGAACCAGGAUGAAAUGAAACCGAUGGUGGAGUCUUGCCAACUGAUGAAAGAACCUGCAUAUAGACAAGGUGGAAAAGGGGCUCCUGGAACUUGACCCUGACCAGGUGUUAGGAGCCCCAUUAGUCAUCAUUCCAGUUGUGGAGAAGGGAUCUGUCAUGCUCGUCAACACAAAUUGCCCCUGAUGGGUAGGUAGACUGCUCUUCAGAUGACAGAAUCAUGCUGGAAGCCUUUGCGGUUUGGUAGAACUUGUCACAUCCUGGGAUUUGCCAGCACAGCUUUUGAGCACCCAGGGUCAUCUCCAUUCUGAUCAGCUGCACCAUCUAAAUAAAACUUAAUUGUGAUAU